Molecule: ribosomal RNA, 301 nt
Filed under: uncultured bacterium
Lineage: Bacteria
Description: partial 16S ribosomal RNA
Rfam family: Bacterial small subunit ribosomal RNA
Source: RNAcentral
CAGUCGCCGCGGUAAUACGUAGGUGGCAAGCGUUGUCCGGAAUUAUUGGGCGUAAAGCGCGCGCAGGCGGAUAGGUCAGUCUGUCUUAAAAGUUCGGGGCUUAACCCCGUGAUGGGAUGGAAACUGCCAAUCUAGAGUAUCGGAGAGGAAAGUGGAAUUCCUAGUGUAGCGGUGAAAUGCGUAGAUAUUAGGAAGAACACCAGUGGCGAGGGCGACUUUCUGGACGAAAACUGACGCUGAGGCGCGAAAGCCAGGGGAGCGAACGGGAUUAGAUACCCCGGUAGUCCCUGUCUCUUAUACA